RNAcentral lists this ribosomal RNA (427 nucleotides) under uncultured bacterium. Its description in RNAcentral is "partial 16S ribosomal RNA". It matches the Rfam family "Bacterial small subunit ribosomal RNA", at positions 354 to 796 of the family's 1533-position model. The record is from RNAcentral.
GUGGGGAAUAUUGCGCAAUGGGGGAAACCCUGACGCAGCAAUACCGCGUGAGUGAAGAAGGUUUUCGGAUCGUAAAACUCUUUUAUUGGGGAAGAAGAAGUGACGGUACCCAAUGAAGAAGUCCCGGCUAACUACGUGCCAGCAGCCGCGGUAAUACGUAGGGGACAAGCGUUGUCCGGAAUCACUGGGCGUAAAGGGCGCGUAGGCGGUUUUAUAAGUCAGAUGUGAAAGGUACCGGCUCAACCGGUGACGUGCAUUUGAAACUGUAAGACUUGAGUACUGGAGAGGCAAGUGGAAUUCCUAGUGUAGCGGUGAAAUGCGUAGAUAUUAGGAGGAACACCGGUGGCGAUGGCGGCUUGCUGGACAGAUACUGACGCUGAGGUGCGAAAGCGUGGGGAGCGAACAGGAUUAGAUACCCUGGUAGUCC